UGGGGAAUAUUGCACAAUGGGCGCAAGCCUGAUGCAGCCAUGCCGCGUGUAUGAAGAAGGCCUUCGGGUUGUAAAGUACUUUCAGCGGGGAGGAAGGGAGUAAAGUUAAUACCUUUGCCCAUUGACGUUACCCGCAGAAGAAGCACCGGCUAACUCCGUGCCAGCAGCCGCGGUAAUACGGAGGGUGCAAGCGUUAAUCGGAAUUACUGGGCGUAAAGCGCACGCAGGCGGUUUGUUAAGUCAGAUGUGAAAUCCCCGGGCUCAACCUGGGAACUGCAUCUGAUACUGGAAAGCUUGAGUAUCGUAGAGGGGGGUAGAAUUCCAGGUGUAGCGGUGAAAUGCGUAGAGAUCUGGAGGAAUACCGGUGGCGAAGGCGGCCCCCUGGACGGAGACUGACGCUCAGGUGCGAAAGCGUGGGGAGCAAACAGG
Molecule: ribosomal RNA, 429 nt
Filed under: Chloroflexota bacterium
Lineage: Bacteria; Bacillati; Chloroflexota
Description: Chloroflexi bacterium partial 16S ribosomal RNA
Rfam family: Bacterial small subunit ribosomal RNA
Source: RNAcentral